This 245-nucleotide ribosomal RNA is filed under the name uncultured bacterium. Its description in RNAcentral is "partial 16S ribosomal RNA". It matches the Rfam family "Bacterial small subunit ribosomal RNA", at positions 524 to 768 of the family's 1533-position model. The record is from RNAcentral.
UACGUAGGCAGCAAGCGUUGUUCGGAAUUACUGGGCGUAAAGGGUGUGUAGGCGGUUGGGCAAGUCUGGUGUGAAAUCUCCCGGCUUAACUGGGAGGGUGCGCCGGAAACUGCCUAGCUAGAGUGUGGGAGAGGAAAGUGGAAUUCCUGGUGUAGCGGUGAAAUGCGUAGAUAUCAGGAGGAACACCUGCGGUGUAGACGGCUUUCUGGACCACUACUGACGCUGAAACACGAAAGCGUGGGGAG